Culex quinquefasciatus (southern house mosquito) is the source of this 497-nucleotide long non-coding RNA. RefSeq lists it as uncharacterized. The record is from RefSeq and is a predicted model, not a curated record. The transcript is spliced from 2 exons. NCBI's taxonomy places the organism in Eukaryota, Metazoa, Arthropoda, Insecta, Diptera, Culicidae.
AGAACCCUUGCGGAACGGCUCGAUGGAUGAAACCAUGCCUCCUUGGCUCAUUUCAACAAACUUCAAUCAAUAGUUUUUAAAAAAAUAAAAAAAAGCACAAGGAGACCUAUUAGUCUGGCUCAAAAUCAAUAUAUAUAAAGCGCUUCCAGGUACUGCAACACGUGGCUCGUUCCCCGCUCACCCGUAGCGACAGAAAUUACCAGCCGGUCACCUAUCAGCUUCCGACAACGUCGAAAUCACUUGGUUCUGUUCCGAAAUCACCGGAAGGACAAUCCACCGCCUCGUUGAUGAUUCCCGACACGUCACAAAAGGCAGAACACACCGCCCGGCCAGAAAACACCAAAAUGUCCGGCUCCUCGGAUCGACCCUGUUAAAACAAAAGAUUACACUCUUAUUACUCUUCAAACAAAGAUAUUAGACCUGCCGUAAACAGGCAGUCGUUAAAAAUUAAUUAUUGUUAUAGUUUCAAUAAUAAAAAAGAGGUUCUACACCACGAA